AACGAACGCUGGCGGCAUGCCUAACACAUGCAAGUCGAACGAGACCUUCGGGUCUAGUGGCGCACGGGUGCGUAACGCGUGGGAACCUGCCCUUAGGUUCGGAAUAACUCCCCGAAAGGGGUGCUAAUACCGGAUAAUGUCUUCGGACCAAAGAUUUAUCGCCUUUGGAUGGGCCCGCGUUGGAUUAGCUAGUUGGUAGGGUAAAAGCCUACCAAGGCGACGAUCCAUAGCUGGUCUGAGAGGAUGAUCAGCCACACUGGGACUGAGACACGGCCCAGACUCCUACGGGAGGCAGCAGUGGGGAAUAUUGGACAAGGGGCGAAAGCCUGAUCCAGCAAUGCCGCGUGAGUGAUGAAGGCCUUAGGGUUGUAAAGCUCUUUUACCCGGGAUGAUAAUGACAGUACCGGGAGAAUAAGCUCGGGCUAACUCCGUG
RNAcentral lists this ribosomal RNA (433 nucleotides) under uncultured bacterium. Its description in RNAcentral is "partial 16S ribosomal RNA". It matches the Rfam family "Bacterial small subunit ribosomal RNA", at positions 29 to 507 of the family's 1533-position model. The record is from RNAcentral.